RNAcentral lists this unclassified non-coding RNA (3417 nucleotides) under Rhopalosiphum maidis (corn leaf aphid). RNAcentral describes it as "nFX1-type zinc finger-containing protein 1-like, transcript variant X2". Lineage: Eukaryota; Metazoa; Arthropoda; Insecta; Hemiptera; Aphididae. The record is from RNAcentral.
AUAUGUCAUGAACUGAUAAAUGUUAUUACCAUUCAUUAUGACGAGAAAAAAAAAAGAAGACUAUACACUUCAGUAUAAAUGGUUAGAAAAUGAUUUGUCAAAGUCAUCAACGGUGACAUCUGUAAGUUGUUUUGACGACUAUAGACGUAUUCCACUUUACCCCACAUUAGAAGAUAUAACCAACGGACCACCAAUAUUAUAUGCAAAUAAUGUUGAUCGUCCAUAUAAAAAUUGUGAUGAAUAUCUAAAUAAUUUUUUCCGUCUUAUGCGAGAAGAUUUUGUUUCGGUUAUUAGAGAUAUUUUAAAAACUAUAAAUGCUAAUAAAAGUGUACUCGAACGAGAAAUGGACAGAUUAUGGUAUUAUAGUAAUGUUAAAAUUGAAAAGAAAAGAAAUUCAUCUGUAACAAUGUAUUUGCAAUUUGAUACACCUAAUAAAGCUAAGAAUUUUAACUAUGAAGAUAGUAAACGAUUUAAAAAUGGUGCUUUGUUGUUACUUUCAAAAGAUUUAUUUACUACAUUCAGUUUAGGAAUCGUAACUGAUACAUUUAAGUUAAAUAAAGGGAUAGUUGGUGUCGAUGUUGUUGAUUUUGAAGAAGUAAAUAAAUGGAACUCAAUUGAUUUAUUAGAGCCAGAUGUUUUUUAUGAACCUUACAGAUAUGUUUUGGGAGUAUUUCAAGACUUGUGUGAAACAAAUUUCCCAAUGAAGAAUUAUAUUAUACAUGGUAUUAAAGAAAUUUCAUAUCCUAGUUAUUUAACAGGAAAUUCUGUUUAUACUAUUAAUGGGAUUACAUUUGAUAUUCUUCAAAAUGACCAAUGGCCGUCAGCUGAAAUACUUAACAUGGAUAUCAAUCAAUAUGAAGCAUUUAAAGGGGCUUUAACUAAAGAAUUUACUAUGAUUCAAGGACCACCCGGCACUGGUAAGACUUACAUUGGAUUAGAAAUUGUAAAGGUUAUUAUUGAAAAUAUGUAUGAUACAAAUAAACUCAACCAUCCUAUUAUGGUUGUAUGUAUGACAAAUCAUGCCUUGGAUCAAUUUCUUGAGGGUAUAUGGAAAAUAACAAGAAAUAUUUCAAGAUUUGGGCGUGGAACUAAAAGUGAUAUUUUAGUGAACUAUAUUCCAACAAUGAGUGUUGCUCGCAAGGAUGAAUGUGCCAAUAUAUAUGUAGAUGCCAGACGAGACGUAAAAGCUUCAAUACAAAACGAAAAUCAGCAUCUGCUUAAUAUUAAAGAAGUUGAUCACAAUAAAGGUGUAGUUGAUUUGUCUUUACUUAUGCAAGUGCUUAACGAAAAUGGUUUUAAUACAUGGUUUCAAGAUUCAUAUGAUUUACUUGCAUGGUUGUUACAUGGUAUUUCAUCCGUGAAUGGUAUAAAUCCAAUAGAUUUUUUAAAAAAAGAUAAGUUACUUGCUACCCGAUUCUCAAAACUUGAUAAAAAUAAAACUAAUAAAAAAAUAUAUUGUAUAACUUUGAAGAGUAUAAAACUGUAUUGUACCCAAAUUCAAUGUCAACUAAAUAAUACGAGUUAUAAUCUAAAAGAUGAUUCUAAAAAAAAAGAUUUAGAAAAUGCAUUACAAUUAAUGAGAACCAUAGAAGAUUACAUAGCCAAACAUUUAAAAUUGUAUAAAUCCGGAUCUUCUGAAAAAUUUAAAAAUCGGAAUAACCGUGACUUAUUAGAAAAAAGAGAUCGAUGGUUAUUGUAUUAUUAUUGGAUUCGUUUAUAUAUAACAAAAGAGUAUAAUAAUAUUGAAAAUAUAAAAAGUACUACUCGUCAAUGUAGACGAGAUAUGAACAAGUUUAAGUCGAUUGGAUAUUUGAAACCAGUUCAAAAUAAGUAUGUGAUUGGUAUGACAACAACUGCCGCUGCUAAAAAUAGAUAUUUGCUUAAAAAUCUUAAAUGUCCAAUUGUUAUAAUUGAAGAAGCAGCAGAGGUUUUAGAACCUCACAUUGUGGCAUCAUUGUCAGAAUAUUGUGAACAUCUUAUUCUCAUUGGUGAUCAUAAACAACUGCGUCCUCAAACAGCUAAUCAUAUCAUAGGCAAAAAAUAUCGACUUGACAUUUCAUUGUUUGAACGUAUGGUAAAUAAUAAAAUUCCAUCAUAUGUAUUAGCAGAACAACAUCGCAUGCGACCAGAAAUUGCAGGCUUAGUUGCACCAGUUAUUUAUCCACAUUUAAGAAAUCAUGCAUCUGUUAUGGAACGACCAAAUGUUAAAGGAGUUUACAUGAAUUUAUUUUGCAUGACUCACAAUGUUCAUGAAGAAAAAAAUUAUGAGUUGUCCAGUUUUGUUAAUAGUGCUGAAGCAAAAUAUUUGGUUGCAUUGGCAAAUUAUCUAUUAAAGCAAGGAUAUUAUCCAGAAGAUAUUACUAUUAUGGCAAUGUAUAAUGCUCAAGUUGUAUACAUUUCUAAUUUGAUUAAAUCACCACCUUUUGAACAUUUGGCAGACAUUAGAGUUUCUUCAGUGGAUGGUUAUCAAGGCGAAGAAAAUGAAAUUGUUUUAUUGUCAUUGGUGCGUAGUAAUAAUAAUUACAGUAUUGGAUUUUUGAAAACCAACAAUAGAGUAUGUGUUGCCUUAUCUAGAGCUAGAUUGGGUUUUUAUAUUGCUGGUGAUUUGAAAUUACUUGCUAGAGUCAGUAAAUUGUGGAGUAGUAUUAAAAAAUACUUGAGUAAUAUAAAUGCAUUAGGCCCAAAAUUAUUGUUGAAGUGUCAAAUUCAUAACAAAUGUUUAGGAAGUGUAUCAAAUCAUUCAGAUUUUCAAAGGUUGACUGCAUGUCAAUUAAAAUGUAAUGUUGAACUUUCUUGUGGCCAUUUAUGUAAGAAAUUAUGUCAUGUUGAAGAUAGGGACCAUUUAAUGGUUAAGUGUUCAAAUGUCUGUAAUAGGAAAUGCCCUAGAGAUCAUAAAUGUCUUAAAAUGUGUUAUGAAGACUGUUCAUGCCAAGUGUUAAUUAAUCAAAUGAGUGAUUGUGGCCAUAUUGUUCAAGGAAAGUGCUGUGAUAUAGAAAAUAUGAAAUGCUAUAUGAAGGCAUUUAUGCAAAAAACCAUGUGGUGUAAAUUGUGGUUCAUGUACACAUUUGAUUCCUAUAAUAAUGAAAUGUGGACAUAUUUCAGAAUUCUCUUGUUCUCGAGAACCAGACACAGUAGAAUGUUUAGAAUGCAAGGGUUAUCAGAAACAUUUUAUGUCAAGGAAUGAUGUAAAUAGAUUAGUUCCUGAAAAAAAUAAUUCAGGCAUUAAGGUCCUGUAAGAAUAUUUGAAUAAGUAUAUUUUAAUAUGUAAACAAGGUCCAACAUAAAUGUGAUUUAAACCAAACAGAUUUUAUUGAUUGAUAUAUAUUUUAAUUAAUCAAAUUGUAUAAAAAUUGUUAUUUUGUAAUUUUAUUUUAUAACACACCUUUGUGUUCUAUAUAAGUUUUGUGACUACUAUUU